RNAcentral lists this ribosomal RNA (253 nucleotides) under uncultured bacterium. RNAcentral describes it as "partial 16S ribosomal RNA". It matches the Rfam family "Bacterial small subunit ribosomal RNA", at positions 524 to 776 of the family's 1533-position model. The record is from RNAcentral.
UACGUAGGCAGCGAGCGUUGUUCGGAGUUACUGGGCGUAAAGGGUGUGUAGGCGGUUCUUUAAGUUUGGUGUGAAAUCUCCCGGCUCAACCGGGAGGGUGCGCCGGAUACUGAGGGACUAGAGUACGGGAGAGGAAAGUGGAAUUCCUGGUGUAGCGGUGAAAUGCGUAGAUAUCAGGAGGAACACCGGUGGUGUAGACGGCUUUCUGGACCGUAACUGACGCUGAGACACGAAAGCGUGGGUAGCAAACAGG